UAUAUAUUGUAUACGUAUUGUAUUAAUAUAAUAUCGAUAUGACUUAAUCGUUUAAUCGAUAAUCAUUUGAAAAAUCGUGAACGGAAAUACAAUUAAAUGUUAUCGUAAUGAUUAAAUAACGAGACGGAAUUAUACGAAAUUAGAUUCAAUUGAAUUUGAUACAAUUACGAGUGUAAAUCGUGUUAUUUAAUUUAUCGAUCGAGUCAUCCAUUUAUUUUUUUUCAUUCUUAUACCGGAUAAGAUGGCGUCUUGGUUUAAGCUAAGAUAUACUUUCGUUAAUACGUUACUUCUUAUUUCGAAAAGUGUUGAAUAUUGUAAUAGUUAGAAACAUGUAUAUUAUAGGAAUAAAUAUUUUAUCGGUAGUACUUUCUUUUAAAUUUAUAAUAAUCGAUAUAUUUAAGUCUUUAGUAACGACACUCAUUGAUAUUAUACUAUUACCAACCGAGUUUUAUGAUAAAACAGAACAACCGGGUGAACGUCGGUAAAAAUGUUUCAGUUACAUACAUACGGUGAAUUCCGAAGAAGUUUUUUAGUCUACAUUUACAGAAGCUCGUGUUCGUUUCGUUAUCGUCAACAUGUUUUGUUUUUUCUUCCUUUUAUUUUUUCCUUUUAUCAAAACCAACAACGUGUUAAGGGCUAGUAAGAAGGAGAUGAAGGAGUAAAAGGAGGAAGAGGAGAUGGUAGUAUCUUCUCUUGUUAACUUGAAAAUUAAAAUUGCAACAAAAGCAAA
Molecule: long non-coding RNA, 730 nt
Organism: Vespula pensylvanica (western yellowjacket)
Lineage: Eukaryota; Metazoa; Arthropoda; Insecta; Hymenoptera; Vespidae
Exons: 2
Source: RefSeq, a predicted model, not a curated record